GUCUGUAACCAGUAACUAGUCUAGGGAGAGACCUGUUGUCUGUAACCAGUAACUGGUCUAGGGAGAGACCUGUUGUCUUUAGUUAAAUUUAUUUAAAUGAAUGUAAUACACAUUAUUAUAUCCUUCUGGCUAAAUCCCAAAUGGCACCCUAAAUGACCAGUUCAAAAGUAGUGCACUUUAUAGGGAACAGGGUGUCAUUUGGGCCAAAUAUAGGAUAAUUUGACUGUAGCCUUCUGCGUUCAGCAGAGACCACUUUUUCCUUGUUGGCACUUUAUCUGUUGGUUAGUAGGUGUUAUUAUAUUAUUGAACCUCUUGAGCCAUACGCUAUUGGGUUAGUCAGACUGAUCAGCAAGUCUCAAUAAGGUGUUGGGAUCAACAAGUCUCAAAAAGGUGUUGGGUUAGUCAGGCUGAUCAACAAGUCUCAAUAAGGUGUUGGGUUAGUCAGGCUGAUCAACAAGUCUCAAUAAGGUGUUGGGAUCAACAAGUCUCAAUAAGGUGUUGGGUUAGUCAGGCUGAUCAGCAGGUCUCAAUAAGGUGUUGGGUUAGUCAGGCUGAUCAACAAGUCUCAAUAAGGUGUUGGGUUAGUCAGGCUGAUCAACAAGUCUCAAUAAGGUGUUGGGUUAGUCAGGCUGAUCAGCAAGUCUCAAGUCUCAAACACCUUAGUAAUAUAUUCUGUCCAUGGACUCAUGCUACUCAUAUUCACUGGGGUUGUGUGUCCCAAAUGGCAACUCAUUCUACAUUUGACC
Long non-coding RNA from Oncorhynchus tshawytscha (Chinook salmon), 746 nucleotides. The record is from Ensembl. NCBI's taxonomy places the organism in Eukaryota, Metazoa, Chordata, Actinopteri, Salmoniformes, Salmonidae.